RNAcentral lists this non-coding RNA (24 nucleotides) under Arabidopsis thaliana (thale cress). Lineage: Eukaryota; Viridiplantae; Streptophyta; Magnoliopsida; Brassicales; Brassicaceae. The record is from RNAcentral.
ACCUUAUAUAUAUGUUGAUGUUCC